AAUCAUACAUUAGUACAACCACACAACUCCUAUCGCUUAAUAUUUUUUUUCCCAAAAGAUAUUUGCAUGAAUAAAUUCUUUGAACCAAAUACUGCAUUGGAAUUGUGGUAAUUAUAAUAAUCAUACUGCAUUGGAGUUCAUUUAAGUGGCUUCCUUCAAUACACUCAAAAGCUGUAAGUUCUAUCUCAUAAAUCUCUCUUUUAUUUUCAGAAUUAAUUUGCACAUCUUGGUGUACAGAAAAAGAAAAAACUGAAAAAAUUGAAAGAAAUCUUUGAAUGUUAGUUUUGUACAAACUCUUUGCCUUCUUUUAGAGGCUCUAAUCAAGAUUUGCUUAAGUAGAGAUCGGUGUGCGCACUCCCCGAUUAGCAUCUAGAAAAAAUUUCUAUUACAUUUGGGGAUUUAUCAUGUGUAAAGAAUUUAGAUCUAUAAGCAAAUUAAAACAAUAGAUAUAUUAAUUUUUCUAAUUAAUUACUCCUAAAAUAACUGUGCACGGAUUAAUGCUUAUACAAUACUGGUCACGCAAUACUGGUUACAAUCACAAUUCAUUCGAGUUACCAUUUAGGUGGUUAAAAAAAGUAGAAUUUACAUAUAAUCUAUAACAUUUUCAUUUUUGUGCUGCCCAUAAUCUUGAAUGAAUCUUAUUGUUUGCAUGGUAUUCUACGCUCACUGGAUUUCACUUGAUUUAUUCUAAAUUUUCAGGAACAAAUUAAUAUAAUGGCUUCCACGAGCUUCCAAAAUGUCUCUCAUGGGGAAUACGAUGCCUUCUUAAACUUUAGAGGAGAAGACACCCGUAAAGGGUUCAUAGGUCAUCUCUACAN
This 818-nucleotide long non-coding RNA is filed under the name Citrus sinensis (sweet orange). RNAcentral's name for it is "long non-coding RNA (CSIN_LNC005343)". The record is from RNAcentral. Lineage: Eukaryota; Viridiplantae; Streptophyta; Magnoliopsida; Sapindales; Rutaceae.